GGAGUCGGCCAGACAGUCGCUCCCCGGUCUGGAGUUGCUCCUGACGCGGGGGGAGGAAAGUCCGGGCUCCACAGGGCAGGGUGCCAGGUAACGCCUGGGGGGCGCGAGCCCACGGAAAGUGCAACAGAAAAUAUACCGCCAACCCCGCUUGUGCGGGCGGUAAGGUUGAAAUGGUGCGGUAAGAGCGCACCGCGCCGGUGGCAACACGCGGCGGCAGGGUAAACCCCACCCGGAGCAAGACCAAAUAGAGGAACAUGCGGCCCUGCGCCGCGGCCCGCGGCCCGCGGGCGUUCCCGGGUAGGUCGCAAGAGGCGCGCGGUGACGCGCACCCCAGAUGAAUGACUGUCCACGACAGAACCCGGCUUAUCGGCUGGCUCCCACC
RNAcentral lists this RNase P RNA (382 nucleotides) under Thiohalocapsa sp. PB-PSB1. RNAcentral's name for it is "uncultured Thiohalocapsa sp. PB-PSB1 Bacterial RNase P class A". It matches the Rfam family "Bacterial RNase P class A". From Rfam's summary of the family: Ribonuclease P (RNase P) is a ubiquitous endoribonuclease, found in archaea, bacteria and eukarya as well as chloroplasts and mitochondria. Its best characterised activity is the generation of mature 5'-ends of tRNAs by cleaving the 5'-leader elements of precursor-tRNAs. Lineage: Bacteria; Pseudomonadati; Pseudomonadota; Gammaproteobacteria; Chromatiales; Chromatiaceae. The record is from Rfam by way of RNAcentral. RNAcentral also lists the same sequence under 1 other name.